RNAcentral lists this ribosomal RNA (636 nucleotides) under Psychrobacter celer. RNAcentral's name for it is "bacterial SSU rRNA". It matches the Rfam family "Bacterial small subunit ribosomal RNA", at positions 90 to 723 of the family's 1533-position model. Lineage: Bacteria; Pseudomonadati; Pseudomonadota; Gammaproteobacteria; Moraxellales; Moraxellaceae. The record is from RNAcentral.
GUCGAGCGGCGGACGGGUGAGUAACACUUAGGAAUCUACCUAGUAGUGGGGGAUAGCUCGGGGAAACUCGAAUUAAUACCGCAUACGUCCUACGGGAGAAAGGGGGCAGUUUACUGCUCUCGCUAUUAGAUGAGCCUAAGUCAGAUUAGCUAGAUGGUGGGGUAAAGGCCUACCAUGGCGACGAUCUGUAGCUGGUCUGAGAGGAUGAUCAGCCACACCGGGACUGAGACACGGCCCGGACUCCUACGGGAGGCAGCAGUGGGGAAUAUUGGACAAUGGGGGGAACCCUGAUCCAGCCAUGCCGCGUGUGUGAAGAAGGCCUUUUGGUUGUAAAGCACUUUAAGCAGUGAAGAAGACCAUAUGGUUAAUACCCAUAUGCGAUGACAUUAGCUGCAGAAUAAGCACCGGCUAACUCUGUGCCAGCAGCCGCGGUAAUACAGAGGGUGCAAGCGUUAAUCGGAAUUACUGGGCGUAAAGCGAGCGUAGGUGGCUUGAUAAGUCAGAUGUGAAAUCCCCGGGCUUAACCUGGGAACUGCAUCUGAUACUGUUAAGCUAGAGUAGGUGAGAGGGAAGUAGAAUUCCAGGUGUAGCGGUGAAAUGCGUAUAGAUCUGGAGGAAUACCGAUGGGCGAAGGCA